Molecule: small RNA, 125 nt
Filed under: Marmota monax (woodchuck)
Lineage: Eukaryota; Metazoa; Chordata; Mammalia; Rodentia; Sciuridae
Source: RNAcentral
GCUGGGUGCAGUAGCGCACGCCUGUAAUCCCAGGGGCUCAGGAGGCUGAGGCAGGAGAACUGUGAGUUCAAAGCCAGCCUCAGCAAUGGCAAGGUGCUAAGCAACUCAGUGAGACCUUGUCUCUA